UUGUGUGUAGUGCGGGGGAACCUGAGCGCGACGCCGCGUGAGCGAUGAAGCCCUUCGGGGUGUAAAGCUCUUUCGGCAGGGACGAUCAUGACGGUACCUGCAGAAGAAGCUGCGGCUAACUACGUGCCAGCAGCCGCGGUAAUACGUAGGCAGCGAGCGUUGUUCGGAAUUACUGGGCGUAAAGCGUGCGUAGGCGGUUGGCUAAGUUCGGUGUGAAAUCUCCCGGCUCAACUGGGAGGGUGCGCCGAAAACUGGCCGGCUAGAGUGCGGGAGAGGGAAGUGGAAUUCCUGGUGUAGCGGUGAAAUGCGUAGAUAUCAGGGGGAAGGGCGGUGGUGAAGACGGCUUCCUGGACCGUGACUGACGCUGAGGCACGA
RNAcentral lists this ribosomal RNA (375 nucleotides) under uncultured bacterium. Its description in RNAcentral is "bacterial SSU rRNA". It matches the Rfam family "Bacterial small subunit ribosomal RNA", at positions 362 to 756 of the family's 1533-position model. The record is from RNAcentral.